Long non-coding RNA from Brienomyrus brachyistius, 408 nucleotides. RefSeq lists it as uncharacterized. The transcript is spliced from 2 exons. The record is from RefSeq and is a predicted model, not a curated record. NCBI's taxonomy places the organism in Eukaryota, Metazoa, Chordata, Actinopteri, Osteoglossiformes, Mormyridae.
CCCCCCCGGCCCGGCGUCACCCUGGAGACUCAGCAAGCUUCUGUGGAGACGACUCCAGAUCGACGGGUAUCAGAAUAACAACCACUGUAAACAGUCAUCUGGAAGCAUUUGGCCCUUGUGAAGGAACAUUCUUCUUGGCCAAACAUUCAGAAGCGGAGGGGUCCUUCUCCUCCUUCGACACCUCCAGAUCCGAGGAACUCUUGGUAGAUCACUCAGCUUGCAAUCACAAAGCAAACUAAUUGUCUUUGUGCACCAGAAUCGGUGGCAUCUAAUUUUCAGUCGAUGAACCGGCGACUGAAGUGACUGUGAUUUUACGUUUUUUUUUAUGUUGGCAUAUGUCUGACAUGGAGGUCACGUUGUUCUUUUGGGACGGUCAUGUGUGCUGAAACAUAAAUAGGCAUGAAACCA